GGGGGCGACUUGGCUUCGACGUGGGUAGCAAAACCUUGAGUGCAUGCCGUGGACAGUACACCACGUAAAAUCUACUGAAUUUAAAGUAUUCGCUAAUGACGAAAACUACUCAGUGGCUCUAGCAGCUUAAACCCUGCACCACUCUUCUGACUACAUGUGCUUAUGCGUGUAGGUACCUCGGUACACUCAGAAGUCAUCUUACAUAAGAUCGCGCCAGGACUUAGUUCGGAGUCCAAAACGUUAAAUCCAAUCGAAAUCGCUGAUAGUUUUCUUGGCUCGACGGGUAGCUAUUAGUUAAAUCAAAAGAGCGAGAUAAGCAUGUAGACCUUUAGGCGGAGUGCUUGCGGACGCGGGUUCAAUUCCCGCCGCCUCCACCA
RNAcentral lists this transfer-messenger RNA (377 nucleotides) under Methylococcales. RNAcentral describes it as "QPIN01 sp013139755 Standard tmRNA". It matches the Rfam family "transfer-messenger RNA". From Rfam's summary of the family: Bacterial tmRNA, also known as 10Sa RNA or SsrA, is named for its dual tRNA and mRNA-like properties. Its role is to liberate the mRNA from a stalled ribosome. Lineage: Bacteria; Pseudomonadati; Pseudomonadota; Gammaproteobacteria. The record is from RNAcentral. RNAcentral also lists the same sequence under 1 other name.